GACGAACGCUGGCGGCGUGCUUAACACAUGCAAGUCGAACGGAAAGGCCCUGCUUUUGUGGGGUGCUCGAGUGGCGAACGGGUGAGUAACACGUGGGUAACCUGCCCUUGACUUUGGGAUAACUUCAGGAAACUGGGGCUAAUACCGGAUAGGAGCUCCUGCUGCAUGGUGGGGGUUGGAAAGUUUCGGCGGUUGGGGAUGGACUCGCGGCUUAUCAGCUUGUUGGUGGGGUAGUGGCUUACCAAGGCUUUGACGGGUAGCCGGCCUGAGAGGGUGACCGGCCACAUUGGGACUGAGAUACGGCCCAGACUCCUACGGGAGGCAGCAGUGGGGAAUAUUGCACAAUGGGCGGAAGCCUGAUGCAGCAACGCCGCGUGCGGGAUGACGACCUUCGGGUUGUAAACCGCUUUCGCCUGUGACGAAGCGUGAGUGACGGUAAUGGGUAAAGAAGCACCGGCUAACUACGUG
This 468-nucleotide ribosomal RNA is filed under the name uncultured bacterium. Its description in RNAcentral is "partial 16S ribosomal RNA". It matches the Rfam family "Bacterial small subunit ribosomal RNA", at positions 28 to 507 of the family's 1533-position model. The record is from RNAcentral.